This is a long non-coding RNA of Ornithodoros turicata, 323 nucleotides long. RefSeq lists it as uncharacterized. The transcript has 2 exons. Lineage: Eukaryota; Metazoa; Arthropoda; Arachnida; Ixodida; Argasidae. The record is from RefSeq and is a predicted model, not a curated record.
UAUGCGCGAACACGCAUAAACAGUGAUGGCUGUGUGGAGGAGUAAUAGAAUGUUGUCUGUACACGUUUGUCGAACGUUGUAUCGACGCAGGCCUUCUCGCUGGCGUGUGGACGAACCUGGUGACGUUUUAGAACCUGCAGAUUCCCUUCCCUCCCGCGCGGUUAAGCAGACGACACUGAACAUACGAGCUAUCUCCCAGCAAGAUGCACUGUUCUUUCUUCUCCAAGCUCAACGGUUCUUCGAGAUAGUCAUAAAACGGCUCACAGGUCAACAUUGUUCAAGUCGAAUGAGCUAGGAUUUAUUAAUAAAUCCCAUAAUACAGG